RNAcentral lists this ribosomal RNA (121 nucleotides) under Pteropus alecto (black flying fox). The record is from RNAcentral. Lineage: Eukaryota; Metazoa; Chordata; Mammalia; Chiroptera; Pteropodidae.
GAGUACAGCCAUGCUACCCUGAACAAGCCAGAUCCUGUCUGAUCUCGGAAGCUAAGCAGGGUCGGGCCUGGUUAGUAUAUUUGGAUGGGAGACCACCUAGGAAGACCAGGUGCUGUAGGCU